AUGGCAACGAUGGUGGCUUCAGGCAGAGUUGGGCUGCUGCUGGGCUUUGGUAGUCGGUCUCAUCCGGCGUGUUCGAGGGGCUGCCGAGCCUCACUUGUCUUCCUGAAGUCGGAGCUGCAGAAGAGGUGCUUCCGCGGUGACGAUGACACGAGACGGAUGGUCGGUUCCGGCGCUGGCUCGGCGCAGGUCCAGCGCUUUCCCCCUGCAAUGCUCAUCGCCAGAGUCGGAGCUGCCUGGUCUUCGGCGCGUGCGGUGGACUGUUUGGCGCUGUCCGGCGCAAGCCUCGACGCUCGUUUAUGGUGA
Molecule: ribosomal RNA, 303 nt
Filed under: Triticum aestivum (bread wheat)
Lineage: Eukaryota; Viridiplantae; Streptophyta; Magnoliopsida; Poales; Poaceae
Description: partial small subunit ribosomal RNA
Source: RNAcentral